This is a long non-coding RNA of Melospiza georgiana, 1369 nucleotides long. RefSeq lists it as uncharacterized. The transcript has 7 exons. Lineage: Eukaryota; Metazoa; Chordata; Aves; Passeriformes; Passerellidae. The record is from RefSeq and is a predicted model, not a curated record.
UAAAUUGUUCUUGGUUACAUCCCAUGACCGGUUUUAGGCAGUGACUUCAUACUGCUUUUAGGAUUUUCUUGUACACUGGUGAGAAAAUAGGCAGGUCUGAUAGUGGUUUCACUUUUUUUCUACUUCACGUUCCAUAAGAUUCUUUUAUCCAAGCGAUUGUUUUAAAAUUCUACUGUAAGCGUUUGUGGUUCACUUUUUUUUACUUUGCAGCACCCGGGCCUUUUUUUUUUUCUCUAAAUCGGGAGUAAAUAUAGCUGAGUAAAAUUACCUUGGUUAUCUUCCUUCUUUUUAAACUUAAUUGUUUUUAUUAAUAAUUCUAUUUGAAUAUGCAGAAAAAGUGGGUAUGUCCUGUAAUCUAUGCUAGCUUUUCUCGUUUACAGGGUACUCACAAAAUAUGUCUCCCUUAGUGUCCCACAGAAACAUUCUGGGUGAAAUCUGAAUUAAGUGCUAUGAGUCUUGAUAAAUUGGAGAAGUGCCCAAGAGAAAUUCAUCAUCCUGAGAUACAAAAGCUCCUGGUCGGCUAACGAGAGAAUGUCUGCGUGACCUCUGUCAUGGAGCCAUUUCUCCACACUAUACUAUCAAAGUUUAAAGGGAUCAGUGAAUUUUAACUCUGGAGUCCUCUAUGCUAAGGAUGCUCAGCUUACAGAUGAUGAAAUGUUCAGUAAUGUAUUUGCUGCAGCUCUGCUUACCCAAGGUUUGGGUAAAACAAGCUUUGGGUUCCCUCUGUCUCACUGGGAGUUGCCCAAUUCAGUUGCAUCUGGUGAAAUUCACCCUGAGACCUUACAGAACCAGCUCCAACUACGUGAGAGCCAUUUGCAGUUCUCUCCAGACGCCUGGAGAAUGGGCGACGUUUCUGAGGAUCCGGCGAGCGUGCUUCUGUCAAAACUCAGUCUGUGAAAUUCCUGGGGAAAACCCUUCUGUGUCCUGAAGGGUUCAAACUCUGGCGAGGAUCCAGUUAUCAGGUGCUCACCUGGAUGGUUCCAGCUGCCAAAGGGAAAGACUCUCGUAUCCUUGUCGUCGGGCUCGGUGCUGUCCAAAAAGAUACAGAGACUAAAAAAAUCAUAAGAAGCAAAAUAUGACUGCAGGGAAAAGAAGCUGGAGAGAACAGAAGACUCAUCACGGCGGGACAGCGUGAGGACUGAAAGUGUAAGAAGAUGUGGAGGGAAACAGAGAAUCUGACAGGAGCAGCGAACGCACGAGUGCACGAAUUUUGCUUUUUGCUUGGAUGUAAACUCAGGAGUUGAAAGGAAUUUGGGAGUGAGAAGGGACAUUUCAGAAGGAGAAGAAGAAAAAGAAGUUGUUGUUGUUGCUACAGUCCUGGCAAAAGCUUUUGUUCUAGCUAAUAAAAGAAGUUAGUUUAAAAAACAAA